AUUUUUAAAAUAGUUUUUAUAUAUGAUCAAUUGGAGAGAUAGUGUUUCAUUUUAGGCUUUUGGUUCUUAUUUAUAUAUUUGUUGGUCUUGUCUCUAAAGCCGUUCUAACUCUCGAAGUAACUCUCCUGCAGACUGUUGGCAGCCGUUUUGCGUGUGAUAACCGGUAAACUAUAUAAACUUAUACGGAGGCAAAAACAUGCUCACUGCUCGGUAUUCUGAUGAACCGGAACUGCCUUUAUUUGCAUAUGUCCUUUUAUGGAAGACAGGUCACAGAUCACGUGAGCAGUAUGAGGGCACACUCAAUACAAAUGUUAACAUUUUCUCUUUAUUCUGGGAAAAACAAUGUUUCGGGGGUCAAAAGGGUUAACACGGAUACACUGUAAAAAAAAAAAAAAAAAGAAAAUCCGUAACAAUACAGUAAAAACGUCUGUUUUUAACUGAAGGAAUUCUCCGUAUUUUUAGUUUACAGGCGUUUUUCCGUAAUUUUCAAUGACGCAUUGCAUUGUGGGUGCAAGAUCCUUGCGGCGAGAAACAAACGCCAUUACUAAACAGAUUACUUCAUUCAGUUUCCGGAGAAGGAUUAGUUUAACGCUUCUAACGUAAAAUGUAAGUUAAGGAUUUAGUUUUUGUUUUUUACAAUCUUUAGUAAUGCCAACGUUGUAUUUAGGCGCUAUAUCUUAUUAGUUCGUUGAGACCCGUUGAGUUUAACUUCACGUUGCUGUUUUGCAUGUCUUCACACAACGACACAAUUAUUUGCUUCCAGUUUCGAUUUAAUUGGUAUUGGUGGAGAUAAUGUCAAUAUAUGUGACUGUGCCCUUAUAUUUCAGUGUUUUAUUAGACUAAUUUAUUGUGGGCGCAAGAAAUUUCUGGCGCGAAUCGCGUGCGGGAGAAGCAAACGUCAUCAACACACGGUUUACUUCAUCCGGAGAAAGAUUAACGACCCUGAGGAGUCGCGCAGGAGUUGGACAAGGCCAGGGAUGAAGACUUGAUUCAGAAACACCGCCGCGAUCCCUUUGUAGUCUUUUAAGAGGUUGGUGGUGAAUAUCGUGCUGAGGUGUUCAUGUCCUCGUUUUUAAUUCAACAUUUGUGCCAAGCACUUGAUUUGAUAGCUUUAGACGUAAUAAGGAAUAUGUUGAAGAAAUAAAAAGGUAUUAUGUCAUCUUUUACAACCUCAUAGUCAUUUAAAGUCUUUGUGCAAUACUUGUGCUUUUUAAAAUGCAUUUCACACCUGAGUCCUCAAGUGAACUGAAUAAAGGGUCAAAACGUGACAAACUGUA
Molecule: long non-coding RNA, 1277 nt
Organism: Puntigrus tetrazona (Sumatra barb)
Lineage: Eukaryota; Metazoa; Chordata; Actinopteri; Cypriniformes; Cyprinidae
Exons: 2
Source: RefSeq, a predicted model, not a curated record